CAUCUAAGCAAAUUCUUAAGGUCAUACUGUGGUAAUACGGUUAAACCUUAAAGAAAAAAUAUAUAAGGUCAUACUGUGGUAAUACGGUUAAACCUUGAAAAAAAAAAUUUAUAUGAUUGCUCAUACAAAAAAAUUUUGCAUCAUCAAGCUAAUUGCGAGUUGAAAAAGAUGAAUAAAGACGCUAACCGGUUUUCUUACCAUGUGUGUGGCAUAGAUAAAGGGUCUUAAUGUGACUGUCUAGAAUGAAAAAGGAUGAAACAAAGGAGAAGAUUUAGAUUUUAGUACAACGGCA
This 292-nucleotide long non-coding RNA is filed under the name Trifolium pratense (red clover). RNAcentral describes it as "long non-coding RNA (TPRA_LNC004038)". The record is from RNAcentral. Lineage: Eukaryota; Viridiplantae; Streptophyta; Magnoliopsida; Fabales; Fabaceae.